GUGUGUGCAUUGCGUGUUGCAUGCAGAAGCCAGAGCAAGAUGUUGGCUGUCUUCCUCUGUCAUGUUCUACUUUAUUGCCUUUCACUGAGUUGGAAACUAUGGAUUUUGGCCAGCUGGCUGGCCAAUGAACUCUCAGGAUUCUGCCCCAGUGCAGGGGGUAGGGGGUGGAUGGGUAGGGGGUGUUACAGGCACACACAGCCAUACCAGGAUGUGUUUGAAAAGCCUUAGCUUUUUAUAGGAGUGUCCCUAGUCCCCAGCCUCUGCAUUCUGAAGGGCAAUUUGCUUGUUUCCACUUGGACCAUUUGACAAGAAAGAAAAGAAACUUCUAGAAAGCUUCCACUCACCUUCAAGGUGAGCCAGAUGUGACUAAUCCAGUGGCUGCACCUGUGAUUAUCUGACAUGACCCAAGAAGACUCAGUGUAGCAGGUUUGUAGCUUCUCGUUAACGAGGAGUCUGUGUGUCUGUGUGCACUGAGGACGGCUUUCUCCUUCCCUUGUCUCUCCCCGAGGUCCUUGCUGAGUGACUGAGAAGGUGUCUCCCCCCGCCACCACCAUCCUGAGUGAGAGCAGCUAUCAGGUCACCACAAGUUCAUUGAAGUUGAUUUUACCUUGGGUGUGGGGCUUGUUUGGAGUGAUUGUGCAUGGAGCAAAGAAGCCCUCCUGGAGACAUCCGGUCUUCCGCUGUCCUCAUAGCCACAGUGUUAUCAGAGAGGUCAGAAAGUAUCCAAACAAGGAGGCUGUGGGAAGACAAUCUGAUCGGCUUCUGGAGAACAGCCUGGCUCGGUUCCCCACUCCACGCUACUAGACGGGAAGGAAAGAACCUGCCAUUCAAAACCAGAACAGCCUGUUCCCUGUGUGCUCACUCAUUCACAGAGCAGAACACCAAGAUAUCUGUUGGUUUUCUUGAUUUCAUACUCUCGAUUCUCCACGUAACCUUACCUUGAACACCCACUGACGGGGGAAGCCAGAACUGUCUGUUGCUGUGUGUGGUGUAAACGCUGCCUUACACAGCAAAAAUCACCCUCUGGAGGUGCGAUUGAAUUGUGGGGUCUCGUAGUGGAGACAACCUGGAAUGUGCAGGUAAGCUCGAUGUAAUCACAAGGUUUCUUCUCAGAGAGACAGGAGGAGCAGAGGUAGUAGGAGGAGACACGAGCAUGAGGGGAUGGAGGGAAUGUUGCCAGCCUUGAGAAGAAAACGGAUUCUCCCCAGAAACUUCCAGAAGGAGUCAAUCCUGGAGAUACAAUCUCAGUGGAGCUAACUUCAGACAUUUUAGAUCUGGAAGUGCAGAGCUGUAUAUUUGUGCUGUUCUGAGUCACUAACUUUAUGGCAAUCUGUUACAGCAGCAACAGGAAACUAAUGUGCCACUUGACUAAACCAUAAGCCUACUAUUUGUGUGUCCCCUUCUAAAAGAUAGAAAAAUAAGAACACAGAGCACGUGACAGUGAUUCCUGUUAGCUUAGCAUUGUGGAAAGCUCCCAGGUCGGCUUUGAAAUGGACAUUGCCUCAGAAGAAUCUAAGGUGAGAAUAAGGACACAAGAAGAGAUGUCAGCGGGCCACACUUGGAGAAAACACCACAAGCCUUUGCCAGGAGAAAGAACUAGACCUUAUGCUUUUAAAAACAGUUGUGGGCUACUCACCAGAGAAGACUGCUUGGCUCUGGGUUUAAGCCAGUAGAAAGUCUUUGUUAGCCAGCAGACAACUACACUGAGUGGUCAAGAUCCCAGUGUAGCACCAAGCCUUUCUCAGGAUGAGCUUUUAAGCAUAAAAAAAAAAAAAUGUCUUGGGUUCACACAUGAACCAUGUCUUUCGUUCACAGUAGCAGUUAGCAAGAAGCAGAAGUCAAAAGGCAAAAUUGUUACAUUUAGAGACAAACUAUGGACUUUGAUGGAUUAGGCCUUUUAGUUUUGGCAGGUGGUGAUGUCUAUGUGCUCAGUUUUACAGCCUGAAUGGCACUUCCAUCAUGGAGUCAGUUGUGCUAAGGAAUGGAGGCCUACUAAGGUCUGGGGUCUUGUUACAAAACUUUAUGUCAGGUGGGGUGGCACACACGUCUAACUUCAGUGCUCCAGAGGCAGAAGCAGGUGGAUCUCUAUGAUUUUGAGGCCAGCCUGAUCUAAAUAGUGAGUUCCAGGCUAGCCACUGAAUACACAGAGAGACCCUAUCUCAGGAAGCAAUACAACAGACAAAAAGAUGUCCUACUGCUAUGGCCACCAUCAACAGUAGGUAAGGAUGUUGUUUAAAUGGAAGCUGCACUGUAUACACAUUCAUUUUUCAUUUGUUCAAAGUCAGUCUGCUGUCAUGAGUCACUCUUUCUGGGCAUCUCUUUGUUGUGCUGGAGUAUACCACUAGGUACCUUCCCAGAUGUGAGUACAACAUCCUGAGCCAAGGAUUUAAACAAAUGCACCGGCUUUCUGGUAUUCCUCACAGAUGUUUUUAGAGACUGCUGUUCUGUAAUACUUAGAGGGUUGUUUGUUUGUUUGUUUGUUUGUUUGUUUGAGACAGGGAUUCUCUG
Mus musculus (house mouse) is the source of this 2508-nucleotide long non-coding RNA. RefSeq annotates it as predicted gene, 30561. The transcript is spliced from 4 exons. The record is from RefSeq and is a predicted model, not a curated record. Lineage: Eukaryota; Metazoa; Chordata; Mammalia; Rodentia; Muridae.